This 3549-nucleotide long non-coding RNA is filed under the name Sus scrofa (pig). RNAcentral's name for it is "lncRNA (ENSSSCG00030054127.1)". The record is from RNAcentral. Lineage: Eukaryota; Metazoa; Chordata; Mammalia; Artiodactyla; Suidae.
UUUUUAUUACUCAAAUGAAUUUAUCACAUCUGUAGUUGUAUAAUGAUCAUAAUAAUCUGAUUUCACAGGAUUUCUAUCCCAUAGCCCAAGCACAUCCCCUCACCACCCAAACUGUCUCCUCCAGAGACCAUAAGUGUUUCAAUGUCUGUGAGUCAGCAUCUGUUCUGCAAAGAAGUUCAGUCUAUCCUUUUUUCAGAUUCUACAUGUCAGUGAAAGCAUUUGAUGUUGGUGUCUCAUUAUAUGGCUGAGUUCACUUAGCAUGAUAGUUCCUAGGUCCAUGCAUGUUGCUAAAAAUGCUGGUAUUUCAUUAUUUUUAAUGGUUGAGUAAUAUUCCAUUGUGCAUAUGUACCACACCUUCUGGAUCCACUCCUCAGUCGAUGGACAUUUAAGUUGUUUCCAUGUUUUGGCUAUUGCAAAUGGUGCUGCAAUAAACAUUGGAGUACAUAUAUCUUUGCGAGUUGUGGUUUUCUCUGGAUAGAUGCCCAGGAGUGGGAUUGCUGGAUCAAAUGGUAGUUCUACUUUGAACUUUCUGAGGAAUCUCCAUACUGCUUUCCACAGUGGUUGCACCAAUUUACAAUCCCACCAACAGUGUACGAGGGUUCCUUUUUCUCCACACUCUCUCCAGCACUUAUUGUUUGUAGACUUUUUGAUGAUGGCCAUUCUGGCUGGUUUAAGGUGGUACUCCAUCAUGGUUUGGAUUUGCAUUUCUCUAAUAAUGAGUGAUGUUGAACAUCUUUUCAUGUGUGUCUUGGCCAUCUGUAUGUCUUCUUUGGAGAAUUGUCUGUUUAGAUCUUCUGCCCAUUUUUUGAUGGGGUUGUUUGCUUUUUUGGUAUGGAGCUACAGAAAGUGUUUAUAACUUUUGGAGAUUAAUCCCUUGUCAGUUGAUUCACUUGCAAAGAUUUUCUCCCAUUCUGAGGGUUGUCUUUUCAUGUUGUUUAAGGUUUCCUUUGCUGUGCAGAAACUUUGAAGUUUGAUUAGGUCCCAUUUGUUUAUUUUCAUUUUUAUUGUCAAUCCUCUAAGAGGUGGAUCUGAGAAGAUGUUGCUGUGGUUUAUGUAAGAGAGUGUUUGGCCUAUGUUUUCCUCUAAGAGUUUUGUAGUAUUUGGUCUAAUGUCUUGGUCUUUAAUCCAUUUUGAGUUUAUUUUUGUGUAUGGUGUUAGGGAGUGUUCUAAUUUCAUUCUUUUCCAUGUGGCUGUCCAGUUUUCCCAGCACCACUUAUUGAACAGGCUGUCCUUUCUCCAUUGUAUAUCCUUGCCUCCUUUGUCAUAGACUAGUUGGCUAUAGGUGCGUGGGUUUAAUUCUGGGCUUUCUAUCCUGUUCCACUGAUCUAUAUUGCUGUCUUUGUGCCAGUACCAUGUGGUUUUGAUGAUUGUUGCUUUGUAGUAAAGUCUGAAGUCUGGGAGACUGAUUCCUCCAGCUCCGUUUUUCUUUUUCAUGAUGUCUUUGGCUAUUCUGGGUCUUUUGUGCUUCCAAACAAACUUUAAAAUAUUUUGUUCGAGUUCUGUGAAAAAUGUCCUUGGUAAUUUGAUAGGGAUUGCAUUGAAUCUGUAGAUUGCCUUAGGUAUAUAGUCAUUUUGAUAAUAUUAACUCUUCCAAUCCAUGAGCAUGGUAUAUCUUUCCAUCUAUUUGUGUCAUCUUUGAUUUCUUUCAUCAGUGGCCUGUAGUUUUCAGAGUAUAGGUCUUUUGUUUCUUUAGGAAGGUUUACUCCUAGGGAUUUUAUUCUUUUGGAUGCAAUGGUAAAUGGGAUUGCUUCCCUAAUUUCCUUUUCUGCUUUUUCAUUGUUAGUAUAUAGAAACGCUAUUGAUUUCUGUGUAUUGAUUUUGUAUCCUGCAACUUUGCCAAAUUCAUGGAUAAGCUCUAACAGUUUUCUGGUAGAGUCUUUAGGAUUCUCUAGGUAUAUUAUCAUGUUAUUUGCAAAUAGCGAUAGUUUUUCUUCUUCCUUUCCAAUUUGGAUUCCUUUUAUUUCUUUUUCUUCUCUGAUUGCUGUGGCUAGGACUUUCAAACCUAUGUUGAAGAAUAGUGGCAAGAGCAGACAUCCUUGUCUUGUUCCUGAUCUCAGGGGGAAUUCUUUCAGCUUUUCACCUUUGAGAAUGAUGUUCACUGUGGGUUUGUCAUAUAUGAGCUUUAUCAUGUUGAGGUAGGUUCCCGCUAUGCCCACUUUCUGAAGGGUUUUUAUCUGAAAUGGGUGUUGGAUGUUGUCAAAGGCUUUUUCCGCGUCUAUUGAGAGGAUCAUAUGGUUUUUAUUCUUCAGUUUGUUAAUGUGGUGUAUCACACUGAUGGGUUUGUGGAUAUUGAAGAAUCCCUGCAUCCCUGGGAUAAAUCCCACUUGAUCAUGAUGUAUAAUCCUUUUAAUGUAUUGUUGGAUGUGGUUUGCUAGUAUUUUUUGAGGAUUUUUGCAUCAAUGUUCAUCAGUGAAAUUGGCCUGUAGUUUUCUUUUUUUGUGGUAUCUUUGUCUGGUUUGGUACCAGGGUGACGGUGGCCUCCUAGAAUGAGUUUAGGAGUAUCCCUUCCUCUACAAUUUUUUGAAAUAGUUUCAGAAGGAGAGGUGUUAGCUCUUCUCUAAAUGUUUGAUAGAAUUCGCCUGUGAAGCCAAAUGGUCCUGGACUUUUGUUUGUUGGAAGUUUUUUAAUCACAGUUUCAAUUUCAGUUCUUGUGAUGGGUCCAUUCAUCUCUUCUAUUUCAUCUUGGUUUAGUCUUGGAAGAUUGUACUUUUCUAAGAAUUUGUCCAUUUCUUCUAGGUUUUCCAUUUUAUUGGCAUAUAGUGGCAUAUAGUAGUCUCUUACAAUCCUUUGUAUUUCCGUGAUGUCCAUUGUUACUUCUUCUUUUUUAUUUCUGAUUUUAUUGAUUUGAGUCCUCUCUCUUUUUUUCUUGAUAAGUUUGGCUAGGAGUUUAUCAAUUUUGUUGAUCUUUUCCAAGAUCCAGCUUUUCGUUUCAUUGAUCUUUUCUAUGGUUUUCUUUGUUUCUAUUUCAUUGAUUUCUGCUCUGAUCUUUAUGAUUUCUUUCCUUCUACUAACUUUAGGUCUUGUCUGUUCUUCUCUCUCAAGCUGCUUUAGAUGUAAAGUUAGCUUAUUUAUUUGGGCUUUUUCUUGUUUCCUGAGGUGGGCUUGUAGUGCUAUAAACUUUCCUCUUAGAGCAGUUUUUGCUGCAUCCCAUAGGUUUUGGAGUGUCGUAUCUUUGUUGUCAUUUGCUGCUAGGUAUUUUUUAAUUUCCUCUUUGAUUUCUUCAGUGAUCCAUUGGUUGUUUAGUAGCAUGUUGUUGAGUCUCCAUGUGGUUGUGUGUUUUGCAGUUUUUUUCUUGUUGAUUUCCAGUCGUAUAGCAUUGUGGUCAGAAAAGAUGCUUGAUAUGAUUUCAAUUUUCUUAAUGUUACCAAGGUUGGAUUUGUAGCCCAGGAUAUGAACAAUCUUAGAGAAUGAUCCAUCUGCACUUGAAGAAUGUGCAUUCUGUUGCUUUUGGCUGAAAUGUCCUAUAAACACCUACCAAGUCCAUCUGGUUUGAUGCAUCAUUCAGGGCCUGUGUUUCCUUAUAGAUUUUCUGUCUGGUUGAUCUGUCCA